UGGUCCCAUUCCCAAGUGCCCUAGAAUCACCCAAUCUUUUCAACAGGAAGUGAGAACAAAUUGAUGAAAUGAUGGAACUAAUUAAGACUUCCCAAAGUCCACAAUUGAAUGACACAAUAGAGGAAGCUACACCCAUAAUUCUUCUCCAAAAUUUAUUAGAUCCCUAUCAAGCUCAUUUUGGAAUGGAUAAUUUUGAUGAAGAUGGGUAUAUUAUAGAAGUACAUGACCUAGUAGAUACAUCCUACCCCAAAACCACCCCACUUG
RNAcentral lists this long non-coding RNA (264 nucleotides) under Elaeis guineensis (African oil palm). Its description in RNAcentral is "long non-coding RNA (EGUI_LNC002090)". The record is from RNAcentral. Lineage: Eukaryota; Viridiplantae; Streptophyta; Magnoliopsida; Arecales; Arecaceae.